GAUGAACGCUCGCGGCAGGCCUAACACAUGCAAGUCGAGGGAGGAGCCUUCGGGCUUCGACCGGCGUACGGGUGCGUAACGCGUAUACAAUCUGCCUUUCACAUAGGGAUAGCCCGAAGAAAUUUGGAUUAAUACCUAAUGGUAUAUAGAUGUGGCAUCACCUUUAUAUUAAAGCUGAGGCGGUGAAAGAUGAGUAUGCGUUCUAUUAGCUAGUUGGAGAGGUAACGGCUCCCCAAGGCGACGAUAGAUAGGGGUUCUGAGAGGGAUAUCCCCCACACUGGUACUGAGAUACGGACCAGACUCCUACGGGAGGCAGCAGUGAGGAAUAUUGGACAAUGGUCGGAAGACUGAUCCAGCCAUGCCGCGUGCAGGAAGACGGCCUUAUGGGUUGUAAACUGCUUUUGCAGGGGAAGAAUAAGGACUACGCGUAGUUUGAUGACGGUACUCUGCGAAUAAGCAGCGGCUAACUCCGUG
This 474-nucleotide ribosomal RNA is filed under the name uncultured bacterium. RNAcentral describes it as "partial 16S ribosomal RNA". It matches the Rfam family "Bacterial small subunit ribosomal RNA", at positions 28 to 507 of the family's 1533-position model. The record is from RNAcentral.